Molecule: RNA transcript, 4262 nt
Organism: Heteronotia binoei (common prickly gecko)
Lineage: Eukaryota; Metazoa; Chordata; Lepidosauria; Squamata; Gekkonidae
Gene: SORCS1
Gene name: sortilin related VPS10 domain containing receptor 1
Exons: 28
Source: RefSeq, a predicted model, not a curated record
AGCAGUUUUUCUCUUCUCCUCGAACUGCAUCAAAUACGACUGUGUCUGAAACUUCUAUGGAGUUAUUGCGGUCUUCUGGCAGAAAAGCCAACACAUCUGCAGCCCCCCAACUCUCUUCCCAUUUUGCAUCUCUCGCAUAGACUCUCUCCUUUUCCCUCAUCAGCAUUAGGAGCAAUGGGAAAAGUUACUGGCUGGUACCCAGGCUGGCAGAUGGCUCUGCUAGCCGCCUGGACAUGGCUUUUGAUCCUUACUUUUGGCUUUGCCGGAGCAGAAAUCACUUGCAGAUCGUGCCAUUGGCAGGUGCAGUUACACGAGCAGCAGCGGCAGCAACCUCAGCAAGGAUUAUUAAUACAUUUGAGGACAAGACGAGAAGGCGAGGAGGCAUGGAGGUUAUCUGUGGAGAAAAGAGGUGAGAGGCAGCCUGGUCAUGGGCAGGAGGUGGCAGAUGCUGGGGAUCGAACCUUAUUCGCUUCUGCGACCGCUGGGGAGAAAUAUGCCAGCCUGGAGCCACGGAGACCGAUGGGAUCGAGGAAACUGUCCGGCGAGCCCUCCGAGGCGCCGAUCAGCUUCCGACUGUCGCGCUCGGAUGUUGAUAAGCCCACCCGCUCCAAGUUCCGUUCUGAUUCUCCGCGGUCCCCCGGGGAUAAAGAGCGGCGCUCCUCUGAGGCCACCCGUGCUGCCCGGUCGGCGCCCCUCGGCUGGCUAAGAAAAAGCAGGGCAGGUUGGACGAGGCAGCAGAGCCGGAAGCCUAGAGGAGCUCCUGCUGAAAGAGACCCGCAGCUGGAGAGCCGGGCACCGGCGGAGCAGCUGCAGGGGAAAGCCACGCGCUUUCGGCUGGAGGAGCUGAAAUUGACUAGCACGACCUUUGCCCUCACAGGGGAUUCGGCGCAUAACCAAGCUAUGGUGCACUGGUCGGGUCACAACAGCAGCGUGAUUUUAAUUCUGACAAAGCUGUAUGACUACAACCUUGGGAGUAUCACGGAGAGCUCACUGUGGAGGUCAACAGAUUAUGGAACAACGUAUGAAAAGCUAAAUGACAAAGUGGGCCUGAAGACUAUUCUGAGUUACCUUUAUGUUUGUCCAACUAAUAAGCGCAAGAUUAUGUUGCUUACUGACCCUGAGAUUGAGAGCAGUCUGCUGAUCAGUUCUGAUGAAGGAGCCACUUACCAAAAAUAUCGGCUAAACUUCUAUAUCCACAGUAUGCUCUUCCACCCCAAGCAGGAGGACUGGAUUCUGGCCUAUAGUCAAGAUCAAAAGCUGUAUAGUUCAGUUGAAUUUGGAAGAAGAUGGCUACUUCUCCAGGAAAAUGUAACACCGAACAGAUUCUAUUGGUCUAAGAUGGGAACCAGUAAAGAGCCAGACAUUGUGCACUUGGAAGCAAAAGCAGUGGAUGGUCAUGCUCAAUACAUCACUUGCAGGAUGCAGAACUGCUCUGAAGCAAUAAGAAGUAAACCGUUUCCAGGAUACAUUGACUUUGACUCCCUCAUUGUCCAGGAUGAUUAUGUGUUUGUUCAGCUGACAUCAGGAGGUCGGCCUCAUUACUACGUGUCCUAUCGGAGAAGUGCGUUUGCGCAGAUGAAGCUACCUAAGUAUGCAUUGCCAAAGGACAUGCAUGUUAUCAGCACGGAUGAGAAUCAGGUCUUUGCUGCAGUUCAGGAGUGGAACCAGAAUGAUACAUACAAUCUUUACAUCUCUGAUACCCGAGGGGUCUACUUCACCCUGGCUUUGGAGAAUGUCAAGAGCAGCCAAGACCUGGAGGGCAAUGUGAUGAUAGACCUCUAUGAGGUAGCAGGGAUAAAGGGAAUGUUCUUGGCUAACAAGAAGAUUGACAACCAAGUAAAAACUUUCAUCACGUACAAUAAAGGACGAGACUGGCACUUGCUGCAGGCCCCAGACACAGAUCUGAGAGGAAACCCAGUUCACUGCCUCCUUCCAUAUUGCUCCCUACAUCUUCACCUGAAGGUUUCAGAAAAUCCAUACACUUCUGGAAAUAUUGCUAGUCGGGAUACUGCCCCGGGCAUCAUUGUGGCUUCUGGUAACAUUGGAACUGAGUUAUCAGACAGUGAUAUAAGCAUGUUUGUUUCAUCAGAUGCUGGCAACACUUGGAGACAAAUCUUUGAAGAGGAACACAGUGUUCUUUAUCUGGAUCAAGGUGGGGUUUUGGUUGCCAUGAAACAUACAUCUUUGCCUAUCAGACAUCUCUGGUUAAGUUUUGAUGAAGGAAGAUCCUGGAGCAAGUACAGUUUCACUUCCAUCCCUCUUUUUGUUGAUGGGGUGUUGGGAGAACCUGGAGAGGAAACACUAAUAAUGACAGUUUUUGGACACUUCAGCCAUCGUUCCGAGUGGCAACUGGUGAAAGUAGAUUACAAGUCCAUUUUUGACAGACGGUGUGCUGAAGAGGAUUACCGACCCUGGCAGCUUCAUAGCCAGGGAGAAGCAUGUAUAAUGGGCGCAAAAAGGAUCUACAAGAAGCGUAAGUCGGAGAAGAAAUGCAUGCAGGGAAAAUAUGCUGGAGCUAUGACAUCUGAACCAUGUGUUUGCACAGAGGCAGACUUUGAUUGUGACUAUGGAUUUGAGCGUCACAGCAAUGGCCAGUGUUUGCCAGCAUUUUGGUACAAUCCAUCUUCCUUGUCCAAAGACUGCAGUUUUGGUCAGAGCUAUCUCAACAGUACUGGGUAUAGGAAGGUUGUAUCUAAUAACUGCACAGAUGGUGUGCGUGAACAGUACACAGCCAAGCCUCAGCAGUGCCCUGGCAAGGCUCCCCGUGGGCUUCGAAUAGUCACUUCAGAUGACACACUGACAUCUGAACAAGGACACAAUGUUACCUUCAUGGUCCAGCUAGAAGAGGGUGAUAUCCAAAGGUCAAUAAUCCGUGUGGACUUUGGAGAUGGCAGUGCCGUGUCAUAUGCCAAUAUCAGCUCUACAGAAGAUGGGAUCAAGCAUGUCUACCAGAAUGUGGGGAUUUUCCGAGUGACAGCGCAGGUGGAAAACAGCCUGGGGGCAGACAGUGCUGUCCUGUACUUGCAUGUAAAUUGCCCUUUGGAACAUGUCCAUUUAUCACUGCCCUUUGUAACAACAAAGAACAAAGAAGUUAAUGCCACAGCAGUGCUAUGGCCCAGUCAAGUUGGAACAUUAACUUACAUCUGGUGGUUUGGAAACAACACUGAGCCACUAAUCACCUUGGAAGGGAGCAUCACAUUUACAUUCUCUACAGAAGGGAUGACCACUAUCACAGUGCAGGUUUCUGCAGGGAAUGCCAUUCUUCAGGACACCAAGACAAUUGCAGUAUAUGAACAAUUUCAGUCUUUACGACUAGCCUUCUCUCCAAAUCUUGAUGAAUACAACCCUGACAUUCCUGAAUGGAGACGGGACAUCAGUCGAGUUAUAAAAAGAGCACUUGUUGAAGCAACAGCUAUUUCGAGCAAACAAAUUUUGGUGGCAGUCCUGCCUGGUUUACCCACAUCUGCUGAACUCUUUAUUUUACCCUAUGAGGACCCCACAGGAGAAGACAGACAGACAGUGGAAGAUCUGCAAGAGAUUUCAGAAAUAUUAGUCCAGAAACUGAACCAAAACUCCAUCCAGUUUGACUUAAAACCUGGGGUUAGAAUCCUUGUUCAUGCUGCUCAUUUAACGGCAGCCCCUCUCAUAGAUGUCACACCUAGCCACAGUGGUUCAGCCAUGUUGAUGCUGCUCUCCGUGGUGUUUGUGGGCUUGGCAGUCUUUGUAAUCUACAAAUUCAAAAGGAAGAUUCCGGGGAUUAAUGUUUAUGCACAGAUGCAGAAUGAGAAAGAUCAAGAGAUGGUCAGUCCAGGCAGUCAAAGUGAAAGCAUGCCUAAUGUCCCUCAGAGGGAGAUGACCCCAGAACAACUAGUAGAGGAGAAGGUGGAUUCCCAGCCCAUAGGGUUGCCAGAUUUCCAAAGACCAAUUCUUGUACACAAGAGGCUAUUGGGAGGAAAAUUUCCUGGACAUCCUGGACACCAACCAGCGAGCGUGACCAGACAGCCAAGGACUGCCCUGGGUCCAGAACCAGACAGUGCAUAGACUGUUGCCCUGCUGAUGAGCAUGCUGGCGGUCAGAUGUAUGAGGAGCGCUCGUCAGGCGCAGGAAGUAUUUCCACAGUUGCUGAGACUCAAAGCACAAAAGAGAUCCCUACUUGUAUAAAUGUUUGAAAUAAGGACACCGGUCUAUCUGUAUCCUCUUCACUCCAAGAUAUAUAUAUAUAUAUGUAUAUAUGUGUGUAUAAAAAAGAAACCAAUCACUGA